Molecule: ribosomal RNA, 497 nt
Filed under: uncultured bacterium
Lineage: Bacteria
Description: partial 16S ribosomal RNA
Rfam family: Bacterial small subunit ribosomal RNA
Source: RNAcentral
GACGAACGCUGGCGGCGUGCCUAAUACAUGCAAGUUGAGCGCUGAAGGUUGGUCCUUGUACCAACUGGAUGAGCAGCGAACGGGUGAGUAACGCGUGGGGAAUCUGCCUUUGAGCGGGGGACAACAUUUGGAAACGAAUGCUAAUACCGCAUAAAAACUUUAAACACAAGUUUUAAGUUUGAAAGAUGCAAUUGCAUCACUCAAAGAUGAUCCCGCGUUGUAUUAGCUAGUUGGUGAGGUAAAGGCUCACCAAGGCGAUGAUACAUAGCCGACCUGGGAGGGUGAUCAGCCACAUUGGGACUGAGACACGGCCCAAACUCCUACGGGAGGCAGCAGUAGGGAAUCUUCGGCAAUGGACGAAAGUCUGACCGAGCAACGCCGCGUGAGUGAAGAAGGUUUUCGGAUCGUAAAACUCUGUUGGUAGAGAAGAACGUUGGUGAGAGUGGAAAGCUCAUCAAGUGACGGUAACUACCCAGAAAGGGACGGCUAACUACGUG